AACGAACGCUGGCGGCAUGCCUAACACAUGCAAGUCGAACGAGACCUUCGGGUCUAGUGGCGCACGGGUGCGUAACGCGUGGGAACCUGCCCUUAGGUUCGGAAUAACUCCCCGAAGGGGGUGCUAAUACCGGAUAAUGUCUUCGGACCAAAGAUUUAUCGCCUUUGGAUGGGCCCGCGUUGGAUUAGCUAGUUGGUAGGGUAAAAGCCUACCAAGGCGACGAUCCAUAGCUGGUCUGAGAGGAUGAUCAGCCACACUGGGACUGAGACACGGCCCAGACUCCUACGGGAGGCAGCAGUGGGGAAUAUUGGACAAUGGGCGAAAGCCUGAUCCAGCAAUGCCGCGUGAGUGAUGAAGGCCUUAGGGUUGUAAAGCUCUUUUACCCAGGAUGAUAAUGACAGUACCGGGAGAAUAAGCUCCGGCUAACUCCGUG
Molecule: ribosomal RNA, 433 nt
Filed under: uncultured bacterium
Lineage: Bacteria
Description: partial 16S ribosomal RNA
Rfam family: Bacterial small subunit ribosomal RNA
Source: RNAcentral